GGCUCCCUGCAGUGUCCGUGAUAGUAGCUGAGUCUUGAGCCAACACCCGUUAAACGGGGGCUACGAUAGAAUGGCGGAGUGCCGCCGCAAGGCAGCGUGAAACCAUUCUGAGGCUCCCACCUGUCUUACGGGUUCAGAGACUGCACUACACGACACCGCAGGGUUUAU
RNAcentral lists this non-coding RNA (168 nucleotides) under Caldifarciminota bacterium. Its description in RNAcentral is "candidate division WOR-3 bacterium (sediment metagenome) 6S RNA". It matches the Rfam family "6S / SsrS RNA". From Rfam's summary of the family: E. coli 6S RNA was the first non coding RNA to be sequenced, but its function was unknown until recently. It consists of 184 nucleotides that fold into an extended hairpin structure with a large single-stranded internal bulge. The record is from RNAcentral. Lineage: Bacteria; Pseudomonadati; Caldifarciminota.